RNAcentral lists this ribosomal RNA (1848 nucleotides) under Scenopinus fenestralis. RNAcentral describes it as "SSU rRNA". It matches the Rfam family "Eukaryotic small subunit ribosomal RNA". The record is from RNAcentral. Lineage: Eukaryota; Metazoa; Arthropoda; Insecta; Diptera; Scenopinidae.
AAAGGCUCAUUAUAUCAGUUAUGGUUCCUUAGAUCAUUACCAGUUACUUGGAUAACUGUGGUAAUUCUAGAGCUAAUACAUGCAAUAAAAACACGGACCUUAUGGAACGUGUGCUUUUAUUAGUUUAAAACCAAGCGAUACCUUCGGGCAUCGUUACAAUGGUUGAACUCUAAAUAACUUGCAGAUCGUAUGGUCUUGUACCGACGACAGAUCUUUCAAAUGUCUGACCUAUCAACUAUUGAUGGUAGUAUCUUUGACUACCAUGGUUGCAACGGGUAACGGAGAAUCAGGGUUCGAUUCCGGAGAGGGAGCCUGAGAAACGGCUACCACAUCUAAGGAAGGCAGCAGGCGCGUAAAUUACCCACUCCCAGCACGGGGAGGUAGUGACGAAAAAUAACAAUACAGGACUCAUAUCCGAGGCCUUGUAAUUGGAAUGAGUACACUUUAAAUUCUUUAACGAGGACCUAAUGGAGGGCAAGUCUGGUGCCAGCAGCCGCGGUAAUUCCAGCUCCAUUAGCGUAUAUUAAAGUUGUUGCGGUUAAAACGUUCGUAGUUGAACUUGUGCUCCAUACGGGUAGUACACCUAAAAUAUUGGUUUGUACGUUACCUUUUAGUUAUGUGAGCGUAUUAUCGGUGGAGUGAUGUUAUCGUUUGAUUAUUUCAUUCGUAUAACAAAUAUCUCCUAUAAUAACCUGCUUCAAUGCUCUUUACCGGGUGUUGUCGUGGGCCGAUACAAUUACUUUGAACAAAUUAGAGUGCUUAAAGCAGGCCAUAAAACGCCUGAAUAUUCUGUGCAUGGAAUAAUGGAAUAUGACCUCUGUUCUACUUUCAUUGGUUUUUAGAUCAAGAGGUAAUGAUUAAUAGAAGCAGUUGGGGGCAUUAGUAUUACGACGCGAGAGGUGAAAUUCUUGGACCGUCGUAAGACUAACUUAAGCGAAAGCAUUUGCCAAAGAUGUUUUCAUUAAUCAAGAACGAAAGUUAGAGGCUCGAAGGCGAUCAGAUACCGCCCUAGUUCUAACCAUAAACGAUGCCAGCUAGCAAUUGGGUGUAGCUACUAUUAUGGCUUUCUCAGUCGCUUCCCGGGAAACCAAAGCUUUUGGGCUCCGGGGGAAGUAUGGUUGCAAAGCUGAAACUUAAAGGAAUUGACGGAAGGGCACCACCAGGAGUGGAGCCUGCGGCUUAAUUUGACUCAACACGGGAAAACUUACCAGGUCCGAACAUAAAUGAGUAAGACAGAUUGAUAGCUCUUUCUCGAAUCUAUGGGUGGUGGUGCAUGGCCGUUCUUAGUUCGUGGAGUGAUUUGUCUGGUUAAUUCCGAUAACGAACGAGACUCAAAUAUAUUAAAUAGAUGCAUUCAGGAUUAUGAUGUUUGAAACUUAAUAUAACUUUCUUGUAUGAAAUAUAGCAAUAUAUGGAUUGCUUGAAAUGUCUAUAUUAGUGGAGUCGUACCUGUUUGUUUAUCCCAAUAAUACGGGAUACUAGCUUCUUAAAUGGACAAAUUGCGUCUAGCAAUAAUGAGAUUGAGCAAUAACAGGUCUGUGAUGCCCUUAGAUGUCCUGGGCUGCACGCGCGCUACAAUGAAAGUAUCAACGUGUAUUUCCUAGACCGAGAGGUCCGGGUAAACCGCUGAAUCACUUUCAUGCUUGGGAUUGUGAACUGAAACUGUUCACAUGAACCUGGAAUUCCCAGUAAGUGCGAGUCAUUAACUCGCAUUGAUUACGUCCCUGCCCUUUGUACACACCGCCCGUCGCUACUACCGAUUGAAUUAUUUAGUGAGGUCUCCGGACGUGAUCACUGUGACGCACUUGUUUGUGUUGCGGCUGUUUCACAGAAGUUGACCGAACUUGA